This is a long non-coding RNA of Sceloporus undulatus (fence lizard), 371 nucleotides long. RefSeq lists it as uncharacterized. The record is from RefSeq and is a predicted model, not a curated record. The transcript is spliced from 3 exons. Lineage: Eukaryota; Metazoa; Chordata; Lepidosauria; Squamata; Phrynosomatidae.
UGCCAAACCAGCUGUGUUGAGGAAAAGCCACCUCCAGACAUGUAGAGAAGCUUUGGUAAAUGGAUGCCUGCACUUCAUACUUUGGACAUCCUGGAUUCUUCGACCCUUGGACUAUGUUGACCUUGAUUCUUAUUGUCUCCUUGAUUCAGACUGCUUGACUAACCCCUUUCCCAUAAUGGACUCCCACAGGAGCUUCUGAACCAAGAAAAAGAGCUGAAAAAUAGGAAUGGAGAAGAAUUUUGCUGGAAUUAAAGAAACCUUUUCACACCUCUUGAAAAUUAUUGCAAGAAAAAAACACACCUCACCUCAAGGAUUUAUACUUCUUCAAGGCUUAUUGAGCAUUUGGGGGGAAUAAAGUAAUCACAAAACUA